This 76-nucleotide transfer RNA is filed under the name Propionibacteriaceae bacterium. RNAcentral's name for it is "tRNA-Thr". It matches the Rfam family "tRNA". Rfam says of the family: Transfer RNA (tRNA) molecules are approximately 80 nucleotides in length. Their secondary structure includes four short double-helical elements and three loops (D, anti-codon, and T loops). Further hydrogen bonds mediate the characteristic L-shaped molecular structure. tRNAs have two regions of fundamental functional importance: the anti-codon, which is responsible for specific mRNA codon recognition, and the 3' end, to which the tRNAs corresponding amino acid is attached (by aminoacyl-tRNA synthetases). tRNAs cope with the degeneracy of the genetic code in two manners: having more than one tRNA (with a specific anti-codon) for a particular amino acid; and 'wobble' base-pairing, i.e. permitting non-standard base-pairing at the 3rd anti-codon position. The record is from RNAcentral. Lineage: Bacteria; Bacillati; Actinomycetota; Actinomycetes; Propionibacteriales; Propionibacteriaceae.
GCCACCUUAGCUCAGCUGGCAGAGCAACCGCCUUGUAAGCGGUAGGUCAUCGGUUCGAAUCCGAUAGGUGGCUCCA